RNAcentral lists this ribosomal RNA (1372 nucleotides) under uncultured bacterium. RNAcentral's name for it is "bacterial SSU rRNA". It matches the Rfam family "Bacterial small subunit ribosomal RNA", at positions 28 to 1381 of the family's 1533-position model. The record is from RNAcentral.
GAUGAACGCUGGCGGCGUGCCUAAUACAUGCAAGUCGAGCGAACGGACGAGAAGCUUGCUUCUCUGAUGUUAGCGGCGGACGGGUGAGUAACACGUGGAUAACCUACCUAUAAGACUGGGAUAACUUCGGGAAACCGGAGCUAAUACCGGAUAAUAUUUUGAACCGCAUGGUUCAAAAGUGAAAGACGGUCUUGCUGUCACUUAUAGAUGGAUCCGCGCUGCAUUAGCUAGUUGGUAAGGUAACGGCCUACCAAGGCAACGAUGCGUAGCCGACCUGAGAGGGUGAUCGGCCACACUGGAACUGAGACACGGUCCAGACUCCUACGGGAGGCAGCAGUAGGGAAUCUUCCGCAAUGGGCGAAAGCCUGACGGAGCAACGCCGCGUGAGUGAUGAAGGUCUUCGGAUCGUAAAACUCUGUUAUUAGGGAAGAACAUAUGUGUAAGUAACUGUGCACAUCUUGACGGUACCUAAUCAGAGAGCCACGGCUAACUACGUGCCAGCAGCCGCGGUAAUACGUAGGUGGCAAGCGUUAUCCGGAAUUAUUGGGCGUAAAGCGCGCGUAGGCGGUUUUUUAAGUCUGAUGUGAAAGCCCACGGCUCAACCGUGGAGGGUCAUUGGAAACUGGAAAACUUGAGUGCAGAAGAGGAAAGUGGAAUUCCAUGUGUAGCGGUGAAAUGCGCAGAGAUAUGGAGGAACACCAGUGGCGAAGGCGACUUUCUGGUCUGUAACUGACGCUGAUGUGCGAAAGCGUGGGGAUCAAACAGGAUUAGAUACCCUGGUAGUCCACGCCGUAAACGAUGAGUGCUAAGUGUUAGGGGGUUUCCGCCCCUUAGUGCUGCAGCUAACGCAUUGAGCACUCCGCCUGGGGAGUACGACCGCAAGGUUGAAACUCAAAGGAAUUGACGGGGACCCGCACAAGCGGUGGAGCAUGUGGUUUAAUUCGAAGCAACGCGAAGAACCUUACCAAAUCUUGACAUCCUUUGACAACUCUAGAGAUAGAGCCUUCCCCUUCGGGGGACAAAGUGACAGGUGGUGCAUGGUUGUCGUCAGCUCGUGUCGUGAGAUGUUGGGUUAAGUCCCGCAACGAGCGCAACCCUUAAGCUUAGUUGCCAUCAUUAAGUUGGGCACUCUAAGUUGACUGCCGGUGACAAACCGGAGGAAGGUGGGGAUGACGUCAAAUCAUCAUGCCCCUUAUGAUUUGGGCUACACACGUGCUACAAUGGACAAUACAAAGGGCAGCGAAACCGCGAGGUCAAGCAAAUCCCAUAAAGUUGUUCUCAGUUCGGAUUGUAGUCUGCAACUCGACUACAUGAAGCUGGAAUCGCUAGUAAUCGUAGAUCAGCAUGCUACGGUGAAUACGUUCCCGGGUCU